Molecule: signal recognition particle RNA, 99 nt
Filed under: Acidobacteriota bacterium
Lineage: Bacteria; Pseudomonadati; Acidobacteriota
Also listed under: 1 other name
Description: signal recognition particle sRNA small type
Rfam family: Bacterial small signal recognition particle RNA
About the family: The signal recognition particle (SRP) is a universally conserved ribonucleoprotein involved in the co-translational targeting of proteins to membranes. Archaeal SRP consists of a 7S RNA and homologues of the eukaryotic SRP19 and SRP54 proteins. In most bacteria, the SRP consists of a 4.5S RNA and the Ffh protein (a homologue of the eukaryotic SRP54 protein).
Source: RNAcentral
GGUCGGGUCCCGUGCGACGACCGUUCGUGAACCGAGUCAGGGGUGGAAGCCAGCAGCUCUCAGCGGAUUGUGUUGGGUGCCACGGAUCGCCUGGCCACC